GGCCUAUCUGCGGGUCUAAAACGCAGGGCGGCGGGAGCUGGCAACCUCCUAAAACGCCUA
Molecule: non-coding RNA, 60 nt
Filed under: unclassified sequences
Description: GP20-b RNA
Rfam family: GP20-b RNA
Source: RNAcentral